AGUUUAUUUUUCUUUUUUUUUUUUUUUUUUUUUUUUUUUUCAAUCAAAUUUUAAGUCUAAUAUAACUCAGUGUGUGCUUUGAGCUUAAUCUGUUCAUAUACUUUCAUUUCUUGAUUUUAUUUUUGUCUUUCCUCUUACAUUACAAAGGUUUGAAAUACCUUCAAUAGACUGGUGCUUUCUGUUAAAUAUCUAAUUCCUAUGAGGAAUUUACCAUCAAAGCCUCUUCACUUAAUAGGUCUUAUUUUACUACGCAAUGACCAUACUGCUGGCUUUCUGACAUUUUACUUUAGUGGCCUUAUUAAACCCAUACUCUCAUACAUCCACACACGCAUACAAACAGCAUAGCAACAACUAUUAAAAGUACAAUAAACAAAGCAUACUGUAUAGUUAAAUUGUUGCCAAGAAUUUUUCAACAUUUGUUUCUUUCUAAGUUAUAUAUUACGGGGAAAAUGCAUUCCCUAGUACUUGCUCUGCUGUUUAAGUCCUUAAUUAUCUCAUUGCAGCAUAAAAUUAAUCUUGUAUUUUCAAUGUAAAAUAGCAGAAACAAUUUUCUAAAGUUAGAUGUUAGUAUCAUUACUCAAAAUUUUGGAGGCCCAGUUAAGUUUCAAUAGAAUUGUUUAUCAAUUUUCAAGGAAACACAAAUUACACUACUGUUUUAAGUUAUUCCAGGAUACUUUAUUUAAAUGAAAAGAAAGAAAAGGUGUUUAUUCCAUUUAGUGAUGUGAUUAAUUUGACAAAUAUCUGAACUGUCCAUAAUGGUUCACUGAUGUUCUGUGAUGUCUUAUGAAUUUCUGCCAGCCAAUCAAAUAUGAAUCGACAAAAAUGAAGCAAACCAACCAAAAUAUUAUAAGGAAAUGUAUUUAAAAUUGAAAAAAAAGUUAUUGAAGUAGGUUUGGAGAAAGCACUGUUUAAUAUGUGACAAAAAAAAAAGUGUAAAUUAAAAAGCUUCCAAUUUUGCUAAACCAUGAGACUGAUUCCAUAUUCACCUCAUUAUGUUGACUUCUUAAAUACUGGUAAUAUUCAUUUUCAUAUAGAUUCACCCAUAUGCAACUCAUUUAUAUCUUAACAACUAGAAUCUAAGAAUUUAUCGUUUGUGUAUUGUAAAACUGUGAUAAUCUAUGCUUUUUAAAAAGUUGAAAUUAUUUAAACUGCUUAAUCUGGACUUUCUAGAUAUAAAAAAAAUAUAUAUAUAAUUUUUAAAAAAGCAAAAAAAAAUUUUUUUUUUCUUUUCCACUCAAAAAUAUCUAAGAGGCAUUUUGAAUUGUAGCGAAAUGUUUCAUUUAUAGGAAGUCUUAGUUCCAGUAAUACAUAUCUCAUUAUUUUUAUUCUUCUGUUUCAAUUGGCUGUAACUAAUUCUGCUAACAACUACAGCUUUUCUAAAUUCAUCUAUUUUUCUUUAUCAUUGCCCUAUGGAUGAUAUUCUAAAAAUUAAAAAAAAAAAAGUAAAAAGCCAAAUUUUGGACAAAUCAUUGUCCCUCACUUUGAACCUUAUGCAUUUUAAAACAUCAUUCCUUUGAGUUAUUGGUCAGUAACUGCAAUGUCUUUUUUAUCUUGUUUUUUUUUUUCUAUCCUCUUCAUUUCUUUCUUCCAUUCCAUCCUUUUAUCUUCUAUGAGUAUUUCAUUGGUUAAAGGAGAAAGAAAAUUUGUCAACUGGCCCCUCAUGUUCUUAUUCUGCCUGUAUGUCUUUUAAAAUAUUUUGAUUAACAAUAACAACAAAUUCCUAAAUAUUGAUAAAGAAUAUCUUUGCAUUGGUGCUACUCUAAGGUUUCUUAUACAGAUCUUUUCCUCUUUUUACUUUAUUAUAUUUUGGUUAUAGGAACUCAUUAUUUUUCAUAUUUUACGAUUGUUUUGAGUUUUAAAGGGUCACAAACACACAUACACACACACACACACACAAUGGAAACAAAAAUCUAAAAUUCCUUGCCUUGAAAAUUAGUCAGCAGCUCUCUUGUGCCUAGCAGUUGUGAAGUUACAUUUCAUUGCUGAUCUCAUUAUAUUGCUUUUACCUCUAACUGUAUAGCCCUCUUUUACUAUAUCAUCCAGUUAGGCUAUCAUCUUGGUUGUAUGUUUUUUGUUUUGUUUUUUCUUUAAUUUUCUGUAGAGUUAACCUUUUGAAAUACGAAAUUUAUGUGUUAAAAAUAUUGUUGAAACAUUUUUAAUUUCUAUUUUCUUACUCUCUAAUUGAUAAAUAGAAAAUUGUGUCUUCUUUCCUGCCUUUUCCUUUUUUUUUUUUUUUUUUCUCUUGUAUUUGUUAGGGAAGGGCUGGGCCUGCAGCUGUUCUGAUCUUCAUGAGGGAAGAAUUACAAAAAUGUUCUAGUCUUUAUAUCCCAAUCUUUUAAACUGCUCCCAAUUAUAAUAUGAAUGAAAGCUGUUAAAAAAUACAAAAUUACUUCUCAGUAUAUUAAUAUACAAUGUAUGAAUAUCAGUGGUUUCAUUACAGGUGUGUGAAGUUGGUAAGAUACAUCAAAAGACUCCUCUGGAGCAUCAGUCAUAAUAGUGGCAAUGGACGGUUAAUAUAUAGUGUUAGAAUAAUAAAAUUCAUUUUUCUGUUUAAUUUCCAUUGCUUUAACAUUGAUAUUCUAUAUAAGCCUAUCUGAAAUUGAAUUAAAUUGAAUCAUGUUUAUUUAGGAAAAAUUCUAAAUCCUGCCAUCAUUCCACUAUCAAAUGACAAUUCUUAAAUGUUGAAAUUUCAGUCACUGCCCACUUUCUCUUCCACACAGUUUGGUUGUGGAAUAAGAACUUUGCUCUGUUUAUCCAUUUAUUCAGCUCAGAAGCUAGUAAGGAUCUCAGCUGAUGAACCAAUAAUACUUGCUGGUUUAAUUUUUUUUCUGUUCAGAGCAUUAAAAACAACAAAAAAGUCUAUGAAAAAAAUUUAAAAGACAUCAAGAUCUACUUAUUGUAGUUAUUGCCAAACUAUAUUACAACUUCUUUCAAAUCAAACUUAAUUCUGGUUUGUUUAUUUUCAUUCAAUAAAUUAAAUUUAUCAUUCAAACAAUGCAAAUAACUUUUACUGUAGAUAUAUAAAUACUCAAAAUUUAAAAUUAAAUAAAAAGAAACAAAAUCUGUCGUAAGCCUUCUAGUUUUAAAAAUUAUGCUCAAAUUAAAAGUAAGACAGUCAGAUUUUUUUAAUUGCUACCAAAAGCCUAUACUUUUCUCCUUUCAUAAAAAACAAAAAACAAAAAAAAAAAUGUUGCCAAUGUUCAAAUAUAAAACAUGUAAUAAGAGAGCUGUUGCUAUAAACCCACAAUGUUACUAUCAGUUUAAGAAGUUUAAUAUUUUCAAAAUUAUUAUUUGAACUCUUUCAUUCAUUUGAUAAGAUUAGACAUUAGUGACUCAGAAUAAGAUAACUGGACAGAAUGUCUUUCAGUAUUUAGUUUCAUCCUUCUGUAUUUGGAAUUCAAAUCCUGCUGGGAUCGACUUUACUUUUAUUUCUCCAAGAGUAAUUAAAAUAAGUAUCAAUCAUGUACUGUGAUUGACUUAAUUUACUAUAUUCCUUCCCUGCAAAAUUGUGGUCUACUACAAAUGUAAAACAUCAUUAGCUUUAUAAAGUUGGCAAAAUUCUAAGCUCAUUUUAAAAAUUAGUUGGAAUUUCAUCUUUUUCCCUCACAUUUUAUAUUUUAGUUUUUCACUGAAACUUGACAAUCGACUACUGAUUUGUAAUUAUGAUUAUCCUUUGGAUCCAAGCCAUUGUUCAUCUUUGUAUAGCAUUCUUUAAUUCAUUUUCUACACAUUUUUUAUUCUCUUCUUGCCUCACACUUGUCAUAAUGCUCUCUUUUUCUCUUUCUCAUAUGAUGCUAUUGACUGUCUCCCAUAUAUUUUCCUACCUUUGUAAGUUAGCAGAUAUUACUGUUGAGAAAGCCUCAUUAAUUACUUAGUUUUAUUUCUAUCAUUUCUUCAAUACUUGUGUGAUUAAACGUCGCUUAUUUUUGUAAAAUCACAUUUGGAAUUAGAAAACAUUUCAUUGGAAAUGCAUUAAAAGUUGGUUGUCUUAUGUCACAGUAUGGGAUUAUUUCUCUCAUACAGAGCUUCAAACAUUGAUCCUUUCAAAGUCCCUAAAAAACCUGAUCUGACCAAAAAUAUAUCCAUACUGGAGAUGACAUAGACAUACAUGUAUUUAUUUCAUAGGUUCAAAUUGGGAACAUUGAAUGCAUUUAUUCCUGUUACUAGGUUUAAAUGCUGGUCCAGACUACGGUAAUAAAUAUACUGCUCAAAGAAUAUGUGAAUAUUAGACAAAAAGAAAGCUUUCAGACAUGUGCUCCUGAUUAAAAGUUACUUUCAUUGAUCUCUUUGUCAUUUUGUAGUUUUAUCAACGACAUACUGCUAGAAGUAUUAUGAAAGAUGCUGUUCAGUUAUAUGUUAAGACGGUUCAUAAGUUAGAAUAUUGAUGAACUUCAAAUAUAAGCUGGAGUUGUGCAAUCAUUCUGCCUUCUCUCUCUCCAUUGUCUUUCAAGGACCAUAGCUUCCUUACUUCUUAUUUCUGUCAAAAUAAAGCCCUCAUAGAUACUGUGAUAGAAAGUUAUUAAUUAUUUUUACCAAUUUCAAUCAACUUACUUUCUGUUCUUGGGUUUUCUUAUUACUGUUAUUGUUAUUAUUAUGAGUACUUUCACGAGGGUGGUGUGAGGACUAAGACAGUAAGGCAUUGGGCUAAAUGCUUUACAGCAUAAAGUUUUGCCCCUUUUGGAUCUGAAUUCAAAUCCCACCGGGGUUGACUUUGCCUUUCAUCCUUCUUAGGUUGAUAAAAUAAGUACUGGUUAUAUUCUGGAUCAAUUCAGCCAACUGUAUAUCUCCCUUAAAAAUUUGGCUGUGUGCCAAAUCAAAAGAAAUCAAUUAUAUAGUAUCAUCAAUAUUAAUAACAUUUCUUUUUAAUGGAUUACUGGCUUUUUGUUGGUAAUUUGAGAAAUUUUUACAAAGAGAAAACUAGUCUGCUUAUCUAAUAUCUUUUCCAGUUCUGCCUUACUCUUAUUUAAAUAACAAGCUAAAUAUACUUGGAUAUUUAAUUAUUUAUUAUUGGUUUCUUUUCUCUUUUCUUUUAUUUUCUUUUUUUUUUGUUUUUGUUUUGGUGCUUUAUUUAUAGCUGAUUUCAUAUUAAGUUUACUUAGAAACAUUAGGCUCUUAAUUAUGAAGAAGCAAGGCAUGUGAAAGAAAUGUCAAAUUUCUUGAUUGGAAAACAUAUCUAAAGGAAGAGGAGGAGAAAAUCUUUUUCAAGUGAAGAGUAAUAUUUUUAAAAGUCAUAUAUUUCAAACGAAAAAAUAUAUACGUAUAUCUAUAUAAUAUAUCUUAUAAAGAUUUUUAAAAAGAUGUUUCUUUAUCUUUUUUUUUUUCUUUUAAGCUGUCCCAUCUGAAAAAAAAAUUAAUAUAAAAAUUGCUGUGACUUAUUCUCAUUAUCAUUUGUCAUUUAGUCACAACUAACAGUUCUUUACUGUGAUAAACAUUCUUAAAUCUUUUGAUGCUUCUGCUAGGGUGUCUUUGAACAUGUUGACAAAGAAUGAACAAAAAUAGAAUCAGUUAGAGGAGAAUGUUUGAAAAUUGGCUUUUGUUUCAAACAAUCUCAGAUUUUAAACAUAGGGCAUCAUUCUAUCAGCCAGGGUAUGUAUAAAAUAGAAAAUUUAUUGAACGACUGACUCUUAUUUAGGCAGACUAAGCAUUGUUCUUUCAUGUUAGUAAGAACAGAAUUUUAGAUGAUACUAAAAAUUUUACAUGGUCAGCAUGUAAUUUCCCUUUAUGCAGGCAAAACAUAUUAUCAAAUAUAAGGGGGGGGUGUUGUCAUUAAUAUUUUUAACAAUAUAUGUUACAAGUUUCCAUCCAGUGUAGCAUCAAGUUAUUUACUUUAUAUUCUUUUUCUAAAAAUUAUUUGCCAUCUUCAUUACUUCCUUUCUUUAUAAUUACCCAUUACCUUACCCCCCCUCCCCCCCCCAAAAAAAAGAAAGAAAAAACUCAAAAUUUAUUCCUUUUAUUAGCCUUUAUUAAAAUUUUGCUGGAAUGACAUGUACAAAACAUUGAUAUUUAUAUACCAUUCUGGCUGCACCACUGCUAUGAGGAAUCUAAUAUAACCAUUAUUUCUCCACCCUGUUUAUCUUCGACCUCUUCUUUAAAAAAAAAAAAAGCAUUUCCUGCCUUGCUUACAUGGAAUAAUGUGAAGCCUACUUUCUUCCAACAGCAACACCACCACUCCUCAACCCCAUCACACCUGCAAUACCAACGACAAUAAUAAUAGCAGUCCUGUUGCUCAUUUAAAAGUGAAAGUGCUUUAAAUACGGUAAUUGAAUUUUAAAAAGAAAAAUAUUGGAUGCAUUUGAGUAUGUGUGUAUGUUUAUGUAUCUAUAUGUAAUACAGACAUAGACACACUUAUGUAUCUAUAUGUAAUACAGACAUAGACACACUUAACUGUGGCUAUGAAAUAUAGAUAUGCCAAUUAGGGAUUAGAUAGUUUGAAGAAAAGACCUGAUUUGAUCAUUUCUGCUGUUUUUACUACAUAUUAAAAUUCCCCAUUGUUGUAGGAAAUACUACUAGCCUUUGAUUUUAUUACAAACAAGAAUGACUUUGGAGUAAGAUUUUGGUUUGGAGAAUUAUUAUAGUCAGUUAUUCGGAGCUUACUGAAGAAUGAAAGACAAAAGUUUGCAAGUUCUGAUUGUUCAAUCUGACUUUGUCUUCAAAAUCUCGAACACUUCAUAUUGUACUAGUUCCACUGUUCACUAUCACUGUUAUAAUUGUUCCAAAACAAAGUAUGUUCUAUUUUAAUUGUUUUAAUUUUUAACUGUUUGGUUUCACUGAACUUCUUAAUAUAUGUAGUUAAGUUUUAAUUUCUUUUUUUUUUUCCUUCAAACUCAUGUUUGAACAAGAAAAAUACAUAGAAAAGAACUCUAUCAAAAAACAAAAGAUAUAAUCUUAUACAUAUGCAAACUCAUACACAUUGUCGCUGUUUGUUGUUUUGUAUGAUUAUUAUUGUGCCAAAAGCAUAAAUUCUUGGCCAAGGAAAACUUGUCUAAUUACAACAAUUGAUAGCAGUUAUUUCUAUGACUAUAUAUUGAAACAAAUUAUUUAAAAAUAUAUAAUGGAAACAAUGAGAAUGAUAUUUACUGAAAAAAAAAAAUACUGAAAAAACAUUUCAAACAAUUAAAAUGAUCAGUUUCAUAACUCGUUCCCUCCUUAACUUGUUGCACUGCCAUAAAGGGGUAUGUGAGCAGUCAUAACUAUAUUCAAAACUUCUGGAUUGGGAUAGACUUCUGCCCCUGCUAGUCUAAAAAAAAAAAAAGAAAGAAAGAAAGAGAAAAGGCCAAACCAUAAUAAACAUCUUGC
Molecule: long non-coding RNA, 7296 nt
Filed under: Octopus vulgaris (common octopus)
Lineage: Eukaryota; Metazoa; Mollusca; Cephalopoda; Octopoda; Octopodidae
Source: RNAcentral